Molecule: unclassified non-coding RNA, 329 nt
Filed under: soil metagenome
Description: partial contains 5.8S ribosomal RNA, internal transcribed spacer 2, and large subunit ribosomal RNA
Rfam family: 5.8S ribosomal RNA (bases 1-120)
Source: RNAcentral
GAUGAAGAACGUAGUGAAAUGCGAUAAGUAAUGUGAAUUGCAGAAUUCAGUGAAUCAUCGAAUCUUUGAACGCACAUUGCGCCCCUUGGUAUUCCGAGGUGCAUGCCUGUUCGAGCGUCAUUAUAACCCCUCAAGCUCAGCUUGGUGUUGGGGCCUGCUGCACUGGCAGCCCUUAAAAUCAGUGGCGGCGCCAUCUGGCUCUAAGCGUAGUAAUUCUUCUCGCUAUGGAGUCCUGGUGGAUGCUUGCCAUCAACCCCCAAUUUUUCUAUGGUUGACCUCGGAUCAGGUAGGGAUACCCGCUGAACUUAAGCAUAUCAAUAAGCGGAGGA